AGAAGAACACAUACCCUCUCUUCACUGCUGCCUCGCCUGCCAACACUAUCAGCAGCCUCCUGGUUUCUUCAUCUGCUUGCCUAUAAUUCUUGGAGGAGAGGUGUUGUUGGAGCACAUCAUAGGAAAUGGCUUGGGAGGUUGAGGGUGUUGUGGAGGAGGUGGUGGAAGAAAGAGCAAAAGGGGUUGUUGUUGUGGCUGUUGGUGGGGUUGUGAGUGUGUGAGACAGGUUGGUUGUGUUUGUAUUGGUGGUGGGUUUGAGGAAGAGUGAAGAGAAUGUCGAUGGGUGUGACUCAAUGGAGUGGUGGUGGUAGUGCUUGAGGAGGUGGUGGUGGUUGCUGAGGGAUUGGAGUGAGUUGGUUGCCAUUUGUGAGUGGAGAUGGUGGUGAGUUUAGGAGGGCAUUAUUUGAGUGCAAAGGGAGAUGGGGGUUGUUUGGGAGAUAAGAAAUGGGUGAAGAGGGAAAGUGGGGUUCA
This 471-nucleotide long non-coding RNA is filed under the name Vitis vinifera (wine grape). RNAcentral's name for it is "long non-coding RNA (VVIN_LNC001604)". The record is from RNAcentral. Lineage: Eukaryota; Viridiplantae; Streptophyta; Magnoliopsida; Vitales; Vitaceae.